GUCUAUGGCCAUACCAUCCUAAACACACCCAAUCUAGUCUGACCUCGGAAGCUAAGCAGGGUCGGGCCUGGUUAGUACUUGUAUGGGAGAAAAAAGAUUAGAAAACAACAUCAGGGCCCGGCGGUAUGGACU
Ochotona princeps (American pika) is the source of this 132-nucleotide ribosomal RNA. The record is from Ensembl. Lineage: Eukaryota; Metazoa; Chordata; Mammalia; Lagomorpha; Ochotonidae.